AAUAAGAAACUUUUUUUUUUUUUUUAUUGCUUGUUUGUGAGCUUCACUCAUUCAAUCAUGUGCAAUUUGCUGGGGUAAUUGAGGUGGGGCGAAUAGGAAAGAGUUAAGCAAUUAAGAGUUCACGGGUCGCAGCUGUGUUCUGACACGCCGUCAUUAGUUUUCUGAUGAUCUGCUUUUUUCUGUUGCCUCCCUCAGGUUUUCUCAGGCCAGGAGAGAGUUUCAGAUUAGAACAUCUGGAGUUUCAUGUUGAAACGGCAUCAUUCUCCCACCGAGACCUGAGUGAAACCAUUAGGCCAAUGAAGACAGAAGAGCAAGUUUGACUGCGCUGACACACGCAGCGUUCCGGUCUGUUUCUGCACCAUUGUUUUCGCUGACAGAAUGAAAACACAAGGCCCAAACAGAUGCAGAAGAAUAAGCUCAUACAGACAUAACCUGCCCGGCCCGGAGGGCAGGAGACACACAGAGGGAGAGAGAAAGAGACACGGAUCAUUCCCUCGUCCACCCUUUAAACACCAGCUGGUGGACCUGAACCCCGGUGGAGGCCUCGAUCCCUUACAAAUGUUUGGAUUACAGGAAUGACCCGCUGAAGGAGUGUUUCACUGUUAAGUGGGACAUUAUUCUUGUGGGCUACUCUCGGGCAGAAAGCAAAUUCUAUACCUGUUUUGGCAUAAAGGUUUCAGUGUACAUGUACAGUAUGUGUCAACAAAGAGCUCCUUGUAUUCGAAGUGAACUCGCACACAUUUUCAAGUAAAGAAAAGAUGAAAAGGGGGGAAAAAGACCAACAUCGCCUAGAUGGAGUCAGUCAAUGGAGCCGUCAAGUUAUCAGUUAACUCCAGUGGCAUGUAGUCAGUGGAGCAGAGCAGGAGAGAAAGAAGCGGAGGAGAGGGGAAGAAAGGACAGGAGGGGAGGGCUGAAACAGGACACUGGUUUAGGGUGCGACGGCUGAGUUGAGCUCUUAUCAGCACUUCUCUCUCAAUUACACCGCUAACGCUACUCUCUCACUCUCUUUAUUUCAAUCUCCACUUAUCUGUGUUGCUUUCUUACCUAGUGCCUUUGCAAAAGGGCAAAUUACGUGAAAGACGAGACAGCAUUUGAACAGAUCCCAAACUGUGAGCUCAAUGAGGGGGUUUGUGUGUGUGAGAGGGAGAGAGUAUUGAAAUUUUGUAAAUCUAUUUUAUAAAUUUACCUCUGACAAUCUUAAUGAAUAACUUCCAAAAUAGCAGAAGCUUUGUUUUCAAAACUGUUUAAAAAAAAAAAAAAACUCUGCCUGCAACCAUAUA
Molecule: long non-coding RNA, 1280 nt
Organism: Cyprinus carpio (common carp)
Lineage: Eukaryota; Metazoa; Chordata; Actinopteri; Cypriniformes; Cyprinidae
Exons: 4
Source: RefSeq, a predicted model, not a curated record